RNAcentral lists this ribosomal RNA (489 nucleotides) under uncultured bacterium. RNAcentral's name for it is "partial 16S ribosomal RNA". It matches the Rfam family "Bacterial small subunit ribosomal RNA", at positions 28 to 507 of the family's 1533-position model. The record is from RNAcentral.
GACGAACGCUGGCGGCGUGCUUAACACAUGCAAGUCGAACGGUGAAGGGACCAGCUUGCUGGUUCUGGAUGAGUGGCGAACGGGUGAGUAACACGUGAGUAACCUGCCCCCUUCUUCUGGAUAACCGCAUGAAAGUGUGGCUAAUACGGGAUAUUCUGGGUCUGUCGCAUGGCGGGCCCGGGAAAGAUAUUGCUUCGGUGGGGGAUGGGCUCGCGGGCUAUCAGCUUGUUGGUGGGGUGAUGGCCUACCAAGGCGGUGACGGGUAGCCGGCCUGAGAGGGUGGACGGUCACACUGGGACUGAGACACGGCCCAGACUCCUACGGGAGGCAGCAGUGGGGAAUAUUGCACAAUGGGCGCAAGCCUGAUGCAGCGACGCCGCGUGAGGGAUGGAGGCCUUCGGGUUGUAAACCUCUUUCGCCAUUGAAGCAGGCCUGCUCCUUGUGGGUGGGUUGACGGUAGCUGGAUAAGAAGCGCCGGCUAACUACGUG